GAGACUAUGUCUAUAUCAGACGAGCAGUGGUAGAUUCAUUGUCUAAUGUCAUGGUGCUAGUUUCUAGAGCAGUGGAUCAUCCAAAUUGCCCUGAGAGUCAGAAGUGUGUCAGAGUGAAGAACUAUUUCUCAAAGUUGAUUAUACGGCCUUAUUCGCUUUGAUGAAAAUGGAUUUGAUUAUGUGCUUACUUACUUCGAUGAUCCAAAAGCAAUCUUUCCAUCUCCUGCUUACAAUUGGAUUGCUUCCACGGGUGUUCCCGACUUUGUCAAAAAAAUUACAUGAUGCAGCCAAAGGACUGCAGCAGAAAUCAUUGUCUCAAGAGAAGUGUCCUACUUUCUCUGGUUCAUGCACUACUGUGAACAUACAGAAUUUUUCAUACGCUUAAAUAAACUUGCCAAACAUGAUGCUUUUGUUCGUUUUAACUAGUUUUCAUUAAAAAAUCAAAGUAUAAAA
This is a long non-coding RNA of Limulus polyphemus (Atlantic horseshoe crab), 453 nucleotides long. RefSeq lists it as uncharacterized. The transcript has 4 exons. The record is from RefSeq and is a predicted model, not a curated record. NCBI's taxonomy places the organism in Eukaryota, Metazoa, Arthropoda, Merostomata, Xiphosura, Limulidae.